UAUUCCAUCUACUGUAAGUUGCUCUGGAUAAGAGUGUCUGCUAAAUGACUAAAA
Salmo salar (Atlantic salmon) is the source of this 54-nucleotide non-coding RNA. The record is from Rfam. Lineage: Eukaryota; Metazoa; Chordata; Actinopteri; Salmoniformes; Salmonidae.